Long non-coding RNA from Cercocebus atys (sooty mangabey), 544 nucleotides. RefSeq lists it as uncharacterized. Lineage: Eukaryota; Metazoa; Chordata; Mammalia; Primates; Cercopithecidae. The record is from RefSeq and is a predicted model, not a curated record. The transcript is spliced from 3 exons.
GCCAAAGCACCGUUCUAUAUGCUUCUCUGUAUAUAGAACAUAUAAAAAUAAUGUUAGACAAGAAUAUUAAAAGAACGGAAAGCUGUGAUAAUUUUUUUCUUUCUUACAGCAAAUGUUAAAAUGGUAUGAAGAGUAUGGUCUCAUGGUGAUAAAAGAAAAAAUAUGUUUGUAUACACAGAGGAAAGACUAGAAGGUUCUGUACCUGUUAACAGUGACUGAUCCUAGAAGAGCGAAAUUUAGGCCUUCCAUCCCUGAGGAGAGAGUUAAUGGCAGCAAGGAGUAGGGUGAUUUGGUCUUCCCUUCAACCUGUUGCUACCCAACACAAGGACAAUUGGUCUUCCAGCCUCUUCACAGUUCAUUCAGUCAUUGUCCCUGUCUCCCAGGUGCCUCCCCUUCUAUUACGGUGAUAGAAUAUGAAGAGCAGAAUGAUUCAGUUGCAUGUGAUCUUCACAGAGAGCCUUCGAGGUCAGAGUUAUCAUAAUCCUGUUUUAUAGGUGAGGAAAUAAAAACUAAAAGAUGGUAAGUCGUUUGCCUAAAAUUAGGC